GAGAGGUUUGAGCAAUUAGGAAACAACAGAGAGCUCAGAGUCCACAAAACAAACAAGUUAAGGGAUGUUUGGGAUAUUUGCACCUACGUGAGGGCACAUAUAGACACCCUCCAGGCUGGGUGGGCUGCAGGCCCUUGGGAAGCUGAAACAAAGGCUGCCAGUGGUGAUCAUGGGCUUCAUGUAUAGCAACUUUUCUGAGUAUAAAAUAAAGAGAAAGAAAUGAAUUCAUCUCUCACAGUGACGCUCCGGCCCAUCCCUCACAAUUCUUCCAUUCUGAAUGUAACUGUGAUCCAUGAUACCGCUCAGGAGCGGGGAGACUGGGAGCAACCAAGUUUGAACCACAGAAUGUUACCCGUCCCCAUUCACCAGAUGGCAUCUACCCGAUGGCCUGAGAGGACUUGGUUGUGACAGUCCAUGUGGAGACAGCACCUGCCCCUUCUGAGCUUUUCAGCCACAAAGGAAGCUGGCUGUAGAAGCCAGCAGCUAGGCGGGAAGACACUGAAUGAGCGUGAAGUUGACCAGUUGAAGUUAAGCCCUUUCACCUCCUAGCACAGAAGUUCUGUUCACUGGUCCCACCGGAAGUUCAGAUGAGCCUCUGACACAUUUAAAUAGAUACGCUGGUUUCCUGGGAUUUCAUUCAUUUCUUUCUUUUGUUUUUGUUUGUUUAUUGCUGUUUUGGUUUGGUUUGGUUUGGUUUGGCUUGAGAAUUUCUCUGUGUGAUUUUUGGGUGUCUUGGAAUUCCCAGAGAUCUGCCUGUUUCUGCCUUCUAGAAUUAAAGGCCCAUCCCCCCCACAC
Molecule: long non-coding RNA, 795 nt
Filed under: Mus pahari (shrew mouse)
Lineage: Eukaryota; Metazoa; Chordata; Mammalia; Rodentia; Muridae
Description: RIKEN cDNA 1110028F11 gene (MGP_PahariEiJ_G0032903.1)
Source: RNAcentral